Molecule: unclassified non-coding RNA, 2203 nt
Filed under: Hevea brasiliensis (rubber tree)
Lineage: Eukaryota; Viridiplantae; Streptophyta; Magnoliopsida; Malpighiales; Euphorbiaceae
Source: RNAcentral
UAUUUCUAUCAAUGAUCUAAUAUCGAAUUUAUACAGUCAAGCUGAGCAGAGUCAUUUAGUUAAUCAUGAACAAAGUCUGAGUGAAAAUGAAUUGGAUUUCACCAAAACUGUGAUGUCCUCUAAUUUGACAAAUGCUAAUCAUGAUUUUGAUGUUGAUUCCUGGGAAUUUCAAGAUGUCUCUACAGGAGCCAGAGCUGAGUACCAGACCACUGUUAUUGGUCUUGGAGAGUCUCAUACAAAUUAUUCUACCAAAACAGAGCUAGAUGAUUAUGUGGAACUCUUUUCCAAAUUGAAGAAAGAAUUGCACUAUAUUGCGAUGUGCCAUCUGGAAAAUCUAAAGGUCAGUAGACUGCCCAACCUCUCCUUCUCUCCCUCCCCAAUUCAAAGUUGAAUCAUUAAUGGCAUUUAAUUUUGAAAUCUGCUUUUUGAUAGAAAAAUCAAAGUUCUGGUGCUCUUAUUGGUCAAGACGCAAAAGUGCAAGCUCUUGAUAAAGAAAUACAGGAUCUUGAUAAUGAACUGCGCCAAUAUAGUAUUUUCUCUUGUGAAGUCCACUCAGAGAGUCGCUCACCAGGAAAUAUAUGCCUCAAUAUGUUCGUUGAAGUUUUGCAGGAGCCUGAGUUCCAAGGUUUUGAGUCAGACUGUCAUUUAACAAAGAAAUUGUCGCUAGUACGUAUUGUGCUUUAAUUUAUUAUGAAAGGAACAUUUAUCGUACAAUUCAUGAAUUUUUGAGUCAUCAUUUUUCUUUUGUCGCUAAUGCAAUAAGUUGGCUAUUCCAUUUUGAAAUAUUAUAAUCUAUAAUUAUCUGUGAUUGUGUUUGCAGCAUUUAGCAUUCUUUAGCUUUCUAGUACAAUUUUACUGCACCAGUAUUUUACAUUAAGUAAAAACCUUGUAGCAGAUCAACCUGUUACAUAUUUCUUAAAAGAUCUUCUGCAGUAGGGAAUAUAUACUGCACAUGGUGAAUUCUUAUGCCUGUGGCUCAUCUAGGCUCCAGAAAAAGAGUAGGUAGUUGCUGAUCAUUGAAAAGAAACUUGUUUAUAGACACGGCUAACAACCAGUGUCUUAUGGAACUAUUUUGCUUGUUUAGUGGUUUGAUUUUAUUCUACAAAGAAUUCUGACAUUUAUGUAUUGAUAGGCAGAGAGUGAUUUGAGAUCAGCACUUGCACUCCUCAAAUAUGUGGCCUUGACGCUAAAAAUUUUAACAUCAGUGCCAAGGGAGGAGCAAUCUAGAUAUAUUUCUGCAUGGUCUAAAAUGCUGUCUGUUUGUGCACAAGAACUGAGGCAUGGCGCCUUCAUCUGGAAACAGUCAUUGAAAGAGAAUGUCCAUGACCAAAUAUUAUCUAAACCUCAAGGCAAGAAGUAUGUCCUUGCCCUUGGUGAAAUUUACAGAGUUGUUGAAGUUCUUCAAUCCUCAGCAACACUUUAUAAGCCAUGGAUAUUAGCAAGUUCAACAGAUCCCAUGGACAUAUUUACUCUUCUAAGCGAGUGUUCUUCCCAAUGGUCAAGUUCAGGACUUGAAGAAGCUCUGCAUGGUAUUUUGAAUCCACCUGAUUUUGAAUAUCAUGAAAGUCUGAAGACAUUGCUAGAAUCUAUCAAGUAUAUCCAUGAUCUUGAUUCCUACACACUUUAUAAUCAUGUUGUCUCUGGACAAGGUCGUAUCUGUCAACUGUCAGGUUUAACUACCGGAAUAGUGCCAGGAAUGAAAACAGUAAUCUGGAAUGGAGAGCAUUGCUUUCUCACACUCGCUAAUUUAUGGGCAAAUUUAGUUAGCAGUGAACCUCCAAAUUUGCCGUGCAUAAAUGUUGGCUGAUGAGAAUGCUGGGACAAGUUGGAUGUCAUUUUAGCAGCUAGUUACCUGUCAGAGGCACCAUCUAAUCAAAUUAAACCAUUUGUGACAAGCCUUGUGGAGCAUAAACCAUCUGUGAUGAGGCUUCUGGGUAUAAACCACUGGCUGCAGCACUUCAAGGAUCGCACUCGGGGAUGUCAGUAUUACAGUACGAAAACUGAAGAUGUAAAUGGGCGAAUUGGAGCUUGGAGUGACCGGGUGAGGAAUCCAGGUCAACACUCUUCUUUUUUUUUUCUUUCCAAAUUUACUGGUUGCCAUUCAUUACAAGAGAUAUGCGACAUAGCAAUUGGGUGUAGAGUCAGUGAAUAUCACCCAUAUACCUAGAAAUUGAUAGGAUUGUGACAUGUAUACAGUUGCUUC